GAACUUACUUUAAAUAAAGCUAAUACUAACAAUGACCACUGCCCUUUUCUCGAUCUUGAUAUCUAUAUCACUAAUGGAAAGCUGAAUAUUAAAAUUUAUGAUAAAAGGGAUGAUUUUUCAUUUCCUAUCGUUAAUUAUCCGUUUUUAGAUGGUGACGUUCCCUUGUCACCAUCUUACGGUGUUUAUAUAUCUCAACUUGUACGAUUCGC
This 209-nucleotide long non-coding RNA is filed under the name Mytilus galloprovincialis (Mediterranean mussel). The record is from RNAcentral. Lineage: Eukaryota; Metazoa; Mollusca; Bivalvia; Mytilida; Mytilidae.